Molecule: ribosomal RNA, 250 nt
Filed under: uncultured bacterium
Lineage: Bacteria
Description: partial 16S ribosomal RNA
Rfam family: Bacterial small subunit ribosomal RNA
Source: RNAcentral
UACGGGGGGUGCAAGCGUUGCUCGGAAUCACUGGGCGUAAAGCGUCCGCAGGCGGCUUGAUAAGUCGGGUGUGAAAGCCCGGGGCUCAACCCCGGAACUGCAUUCGAAACUGUCUGGCUUGAGUACGGGAGAGGGUCGCGGAAUUCCUGGUGUAGAGGUGAAAUUCGUAGAUAUCAGGAGGAACACCGGUGGCGAAAGCGGCGACCUGGCCCGAUACUGACGCUCAUGGACGAAAGCGUGGGGAGCAAAC